Rhea pennata is the source of this 858-nucleotide long non-coding RNA. RefSeq lists it as uncharacterized. The transcript has 3 exons. Lineage: Eukaryota; Metazoa; Chordata; Aves; Rheiformes; Rheidae. The record is from RefSeq and is a predicted model, not a curated record.
UGGACAAUGGAGCGCGGGGUAAAACGCGGCGCGGAGCCGCUGGAGCGGGGCCGGGGUCCUGAGGUGCCCCCGCCGCGGCACCUCGAUUUUGGGGUGCCUCGCGACUAAAGCCUUCUGUGGAGAUUUUAAACCUUACUCAGGCUAGGCACCUGCGGUUAGCUCCCUGUUUCAAGCGUCCCUCCUUGCUUUUCUUCUGGUGAGGAGGGGCUCCCCUUGCGGGCCUCGCCAGGCGGCAGGGUGCCCGCGAGGAAGGGGGAAAAGGGUUUAGUUUAGCGCAGAGGAAGCUGUUUCAUUUCCACGUAAAAACUCCGAUAUUUUUUAAUAUGCUACAGGAGAGCAGUGGGGGUGUGCUCCCGUACCGUGGAGCAGAAACACCAUGGCACGAAUAAAGCUAGGCCCUGGCUGCCGCGCUUGCUCAUGUAAAUAUGUGGCCAGGGACAGAGAAAGGCAGCCAGCGCCUGGCCCCGAAGCAGGAGCAGCCCCUCACGGCAGGGAGAGAAGCAAACAGGAAAGCAGAGAGCUGAAGUGAAGGAGAAAGUUGGACAGACCCAGAGAUCCGAGUACUGCAGACAAACUCUCCACCUGAGGUACCAUGGAGGCUGUGCUGCAUCUGUAGCACCUUCGUCUGGCCACGAGACACCCAUAUGUGCAAGAGCUGCCCUUAUGUGCCCUUAUGUGUAGUUACAUACAGAAACUGGAGCGCUUGGCUACACGCACAGGAGAGGGGAGAAAAAAAGAAGUGAUCCUCCCCGUCGGGGAAUCGAACCCCGGUCUCCCGCGUGACAGGCGGGGAUACUCACCACUAUACUAACGAGGACGGACUGCACGCGGGGUCCCGCCGCCGCCGCCUAGCCGCGC